RNAcentral lists this ribosomal RNA (424 nucleotides) under Shigella flexneri. RNAcentral's name for it is "bacterial SSU rRNA". It matches the Rfam family "Bacterial small subunit ribosomal RNA", at positions 860 to 1284 of the family's 1533-position model. The record is from RNAcentral. Lineage: Bacteria; Pseudomonadati; Pseudomonadota; Gammaproteobacteria; Enterobacterales; Enterobacteriaceae.
UUAAGUCGACCGCCUGGGGAGUACGGCCGCAAGGUUAAAACUCAAAUGAAUUGACGGGGGCCCGCACAAGCGGUGGAGCAUGUGGUUUAAUUCGAUGCAACGCGAAGAACCUUACCUGGUCUUGACAUCCACGGAAGUUUUCAGAGAUGAGAAUGUGCCUUCGGGAACCGUGAGACAGGUGCUGCAUGGCUGUCGUCAGCUCGUGUUGUGAAAUGUUGGGUUAAGUCCCGCAACGAGCGCAACCCUUAUCCUUUGUUGCCAGCGGUCCGGCCGGGAACUCAAAGGAGACUGCCAGUGAUAAACUGGAGGAAGGUGGGGAUGACGUCAAGUCAUCAUGGCCCUUACGACCAGGGCUACACACGUGCUACAAUGGCGCAUACAAAGAGAAGCGACCUCGCGAGAGCAAGCGGACCUCAUAAAGUGC